UACGGAGGGUGCAAGCGUUAUCCGGAUUUACUGGGUUUAAAGGGUGCGUAGGCGGUUUGAUAAGUCAGUUGUGAAAUUCCCCGGCUUAACCGGGCGGACUGCGAUUGAUACUGUCGGACUUGAAUCAGGUUGAGGUAGGCGGAAUGUGACAUGUAGCGGUGAAAUGCUUAGAUAUGUCAUAGAACACCGAUUGCGAAGGCAGCUUGCUAGACCUGGAUUGACGCUGAGGCACGAAAGCGUGGGGAGCAAACAGG
RNAcentral lists this ribosomal RNA (254 nucleotides) under uncultured bacterium. Its description in RNAcentral is "partial 16S ribosomal RNA". It matches the Rfam family "Bacterial small subunit ribosomal RNA", at positions 524 to 776 of the family's 1533-position model. The record is from RNAcentral.